UAAAUCCUAAGGGGUACUAGGCUAAAAUUCAAAGAGACAAAAGAGACUUGAAAGAAACUGAGGGAGUUGAAUUUGCAAAAUAUUUCAUUCACUUCAACAACUCUAUAUUAACUCUUUUCGUACAUAUUUUUUUUCUCCUUUCACUUUUUUCUUCUUUUUCUUCUUCUUUUUCAUAAGGAGUAUGUAUUGACAUGUAUACAUCUUUCUAUUUUUUUCAUUCAUUUUUUUUUCUAUUUUCUUUUUCUAUUUUUCUUUUUUUUACUAUCAACUUCUGAAAUAUUACAAACAUAAUUAUUCAACCUCACACAACUCCAAAC
This 317-nucleotide long non-coding RNA is filed under the name Lathyrus oleraceus (garden pea). Its description in RNAcentral is "Pisum sativum (pea) long non-coding RNA (PSAT_LNC017449)". Lineage: Eukaryota; Viridiplantae; Streptophyta; Magnoliopsida; Fabales; Fabaceae. The record is from RNAcentral.